CUUGCACCCACACAACCGGACCUGUGCCCAGCGAUCCCCUGUUCGCCUUGUGCGAAUUCAGGGUUGAUUGCUGAGGCAGUUCGAUCACACCAAGGAGCCAUCAAAUCCCCAUGAUGUCAAUUUCCAAUCGACAGGUCCUAGAUCAAUCGGGGUUUGGGAAGCCGGGUUCGCCGUAAAAAAGCUUGAGCCCGGUGGAACACUCCUAUGAAGACGCCAUAUUCCACUCCGUUCGCCGAGAUCGUCGAUCUUUGAGGUUGGGGAAAACCAUGGCUCUCGCCUACAUUA
This 285-nucleotide small RNA is filed under the name Diaporthe ampelina. RNAcentral's name for it is "A. fumigatus sRNA Afu_309". It matches the Rfam family "A. fumigatus sRNA Afu_309". Lineage: Eukaryota; Fungi; Ascomycota; Sordariomycetes; Diaporthales; Diaporthaceae. The record is from Rfam by way of RNAcentral.